CCUACGUGAGGCAGCAGUGGGGAAUAUUGGACAAUGGGGGGAACCCUGAUCCAGCGACGCCGCGUGAGUGAAGAAGUAUUUCGGUAUGUAAAGCUCUAUCAGCGGGGAAGAAAAUGACGGUACCUGACUAAGAAGCCCCGGCUAACUACGUGCCAGCAGCCGCGGUAAUACGUAGGGGGCAAGCGUUAUCCGGAUUUACUGGGUGUAAAGGGAGCGUAGACGGUGCAGCAAGGCUGGAGUGAAAGGCGGGGGCCCAACCCCCGGACUGCUCUGGACACUAUGUGACUGGAGUGCAGGAGAGGUGAGCGGAAUGCCUAGUGUAGCGGUGAAAUGCGUAGAUAUUAGGAGGAACACCAGUGGCGAAGGCGGCUCACUGGACUGUAACUGACGUUGAGGCUCGAAAGCGUGGGGAGCAAACAGGAUUAGAUACCCCAGUAGUC
Molecule: ribosomal RNA, 440 nt
Filed under: uncultured bacterium
Lineage: Bacteria
Description: partial 16S ribosomal RNA
Rfam family: Bacterial small subunit ribosomal RNA
Source: RNAcentral